UUCGCAAUGCCCGAAAGGGUGACGAAGCGACGCCGCGUGUGGGAAGAAGGCCUUCGGGUUGUAAACCACUGUCGGGAGUUAAGAAAUACAAGGAUAUUAAUAGUGUCUUUGUUUGACUAAUGCUCCGGAGGAAGCCACGGCUAACUCUGUGCCAGCAGCCGCGGUAAUACAGAGGCGGCAAGCGUUGUUCGGAAUUAUUGGGCGUAAAGAGCACGUAGGCGGCUAUGUAAGUCGGUCGUGAAAGCCUUCCGCUAACGGGAGAACAGCAUCCGAUACUGCAUGGCUUGAGUGCGGGAGGGGAGAGUGGAACUUCUGGUGGAGCGGUGAAAUGCGUAGAUAUCAGAAGGAACACCGGCGGCGAAGGCGACUCUCUGGUCCGUAACUGACGCUGAGUGUGCGAAAGCUAGGGGAGCAAACGGGAUUAGAUACCCCGGUAGUCCUAGCCGUAAACG
This 452-nucleotide ribosomal RNA is filed under the name uncultured bacterium. Its description in RNAcentral is "bacterial SSU rRNA". It matches the Rfam family "Bacterial small subunit ribosomal RNA", at positions 365 to 808 of the family's 1533-position model. The record is from RNAcentral.